RNAcentral lists this ribosomal RNA (459 nucleotides) under uncultured bacterium. RNAcentral describes it as "partial 16S ribosomal RNA". It matches the Rfam family "Bacterial small subunit ribosomal RNA", at positions 338 to 795 of the family's 1533-position model. The record is from RNAcentral.
CCUACGGGAGGCUGCAGUGAGGAAUAUUGGUCAAUGGGCGCGAGCCUGAACCAGCCAAGUCGCGUGAAGGAUGACUGCCCUACGGGUUGUAAACUUCUUUUAUAAAGGAAUAAAGUGAGGCACGUGUGCCUUUUUGUAUGUACUUUAUGAAUAAGGAUCGGCUACUCCGUCCCAGCAGCCGCGGUAAUACGGAGGAUUCGGGCGUUAUCCGGAUUUAUUGGGUUUAAGGGGAGCGUAGAUGGGUUGUUAAGUUAGUUGUGAAAGUUUGCGGCUCAACCGUAAAAUUGCAAUUGAUACUGGCAGCCGUGAGUACAGAUGAGGUAGGCGGAAUUCGUGGUGUAGCGGUGAAAUGCUUAGAUAUCACGAAGAACUCCGAUUGCGAAGGCAGCCGACUAAACUGCCACUGACAUUGAUGCUCGAAAGUGUGGGUAUCAAACAGGAUUAGAUACCCCUGUAGUC